RNAcentral lists this ribosomal RNA (731 nucleotides) under uncultured Neisseriales bacterium. RNAcentral describes it as "bacterial SSU rRNA". It matches the Rfam family "Bacterial small subunit ribosomal RNA", at positions 63 to 780 of the family's 1533-position model. Lineage: Bacteria; Pseudomonadati; Pseudomonadota; Betaproteobacteria; Neisseriales. The record is from RNAcentral.
CGAACGGCAGCGAGGAGAAGCUUGCUUCUCUGUCGGCGAGUGGCGAACGGGUGAGUAUAGCACCGGAACGUGCCAAGUAGUGGGGGAUAACCAAACGAAAGUUUGGCUAAUACCGCGUAAGCUCCAAGGAGGAAAGUAGGGGACCUAAAUAAGGCCUUACGCUAUUUGAUCGGCCGAUGUCGGAUUAGCUAGUUGGUGGGGUAAUGGCUCACCAAGGCAAUGAUCCGUAGCGGGUCUGAGAGGACGAUCCGCCACACUGGGACUGAGACACGGCCCAGACUCCUACGGGAGGCAGCAGUGGGGAAUUUUGGACAAUGGGGGAAACCCUGAUCCAGCCAUGCCGCGUGUAUGAAGAAGGCCUUAGGGUUGUAAAGUACUUUUGUUAGGGAAGAAAAGCUAGUUUUUAAUAAAAAUUAGUGAUGACGGUACCUAAAGAAUAAGCACCGGCUAACUACGUGCCAGCAGCCGCGGUAAUACGUAGGGUGCAAGCGUUAAUCGGAAUUAUUGGGCGUAAAGCGAGUGCAGACGGUUACUUAAGCCAGAUGUGAAAUCCCCAAGCUUAACUUGGGACGUGCAUUUGGAACUGGGUGACUAGAGUGUGUCAGAGGGAGGUAGAAUUCCACAUGUAGCGGUGGAAUGCGUAGAGAUGUGGAGGAAUACCGAUGGCGAAGGCAGCCUCCUGGGAUAACACUGACGUUGAGGCUCGAAAGCGUGGGGAGCAAACAGGAUUA